UACGUAGGGUGCAAGCGUUGUCCGGAAUUAUUGGGCGUAAAGAGCUCGUAGGCGGUUUGUUGCGUCGGCUGUGAAAUCCCGAGGCUCAACCUCGGGUCUGCAGUCGAUACGAGCAAACUAGAGUGUUGCAGGGGAGACUGGAAUUCCUGGUGUAGCGGUGAAAUGCGCAGAUAUCAGGAGGAACACCGGUGGCGAAGGCGGGUCUCUGGGCAUGUCCUGACGCUGAGGUGCGAAAGCGUGGGGAGCAAACAGG
Molecule: ribosomal RNA, 253 nt
Filed under: uncultured bacterium
Lineage: Bacteria
Description: partial 16S ribosomal RNA
Rfam family: Bacterial small subunit ribosomal RNA
Source: RNAcentral